GCUGGGCGUGGUGGCACACGCCUGUAAUCCCAGCUACUCAGGAAGCUGAGGCAGGAGAAUCGCUUGAACCCGGGAGGCGGAGGUUGCAGUGAGCCGAGAUCGCACCACUGCACUCCAGCCUGGGUGACAGAGCGAGACUCUGUCUCAG
This is an unclassified non-coding RNA of Pongo abelii (Sumatran orangutan), 148 nucleotides long. It matches the Rfam family "Metazoan signal recognition particle RNA". From Rfam's summary of the family: The signal recognition particle (SRP) is a universally conserved ribonucleoprotein. NCBI's taxonomy places the organism in Eukaryota, Metazoa, Chordata, Mammalia, Primates, Hominidae. The record is from Ensembl.